This 253-nucleotide ribosomal RNA is filed under the name uncultured bacterium. RNAcentral describes it as "partial 16S ribosomal RNA". It matches the Rfam family "Bacterial small subunit ribosomal RNA", at positions 524 to 776 of the family's 1533-position model. The record is from RNAcentral.
GACGUAGGGCGCGAGCGUUGUCCGGAUUUAUUGGGCGUAAAGCGCGUGUAGGCGGCUCGGCAAGUCGGGUGUGAAAGCCCUGGGCUUAACCUAGGAAGUGCACUCGAAACUGCCAAGCUUGAGUUCUGGAGAGGAAGGCGGAAUUCUCGGUGUAGAGGUGAAAUUCGUAGAUAUCGAGAGGAACACCGGUGGCGAAGGCGGCCUUCUGGACAGCAACUGACGCUGAGACGCGAAAGCGUGGGGAGCAAACAGG